Small nuclear RNA from Mustela erminea (ermine), 103 nucleotides. The record is from RefSeq and is a predicted model, not a curated record. NCBI's taxonomy places the organism in Eukaryota, Metazoa, Chordata, Mammalia, Carnivora, Mustelidae.
CUGGCUACAGCAACACAUAGACUAAAAUUGGACCAUACAGAGAAGGUUCACGUGGCCCCUGUGUAAGGAUGAUAUGCAAAUUCAUGAAGCUUUCCAUAUUUAG